RNAcentral lists this long non-coding RNA (1690 nucleotides) under Daphnia pulex (common water flea). RNAcentral describes it as "uncharacterized LOC124204103". The record is from RNAcentral. Lineage: Eukaryota; Metazoa; Arthropoda; Branchiopoda; Diplostraca; Daphniidae.
UCUAGAAUUAUCAUUGAAAUUUCAAGGAAAUAGGAUGUGAAAAUCCCCUUUGGAUUUUUUGCAUACUGGCAACUCUUAAAUAUGUGCUUAGUUUGUUUGUGUUAAGUGAUGCGUAGAAAUGUCCGGUAGAGGGCCGCCAAAGACGAAGAUAGAAGAUCUCAUUCCGACUAGCACCGGCAUCUAGAGAGGUUCUCUUUUGUGGCCGCGCAUAUCAAAAUACAUAAUUACAGUAAACAUACCAAAGGCAUGUUCUUUUGAUAUAUUGGGCGUUAAAGGCGGCACAGCAUUGUAAUUAAAUUGACCAUAAAACACGUAUGAAAUGUAAUUUAAUUAAUCUUUAAAUAAAAAAAACUUUAAAAAUUAAAAAUUAAAAUAUUUAUUAAAAUUUAUUUUCUUGUGAAUUCUUGGUUAGGGAUAUGUCAAUGUGCGGACAUAUCCCAUACUUUUUGCCUUCCAUAAUCUCUUUGAUUUGGACCAGAAUUGUGUCUUGCUGCAUGAGCAGCUGCUGCUGCUGCAUGAGCAUCUGCUCCAUAUUUAUUGUUGUUUGUGGUGGAGCUGACAAAGGGGAAGAUGUGGUGGAGACAGGGGAGGCAGAGGUUGCUGCAUGCAAUGAAAAAACAGCAAAAUAUUUAAAAAUGAUGGCAUCCUUGCUUUUAACUGAAACUUACCAUUGUGGUCACGCCACCAAUACUUUUUCACAAGGGGCCAGAUGAAAUAUUUUAUGGCUAUCAUCAGUAAGAGGCCGAAAGUGCCUUGCAAGAAUGGUAUUUCUUAUUUUUUUUUCAAAACGUCGGCCACAUCAGCAGAAAACUUAUCAGAAAUACGUGUCUUACCUUUCCCAAAGUAGUUUGGGUUGCCACAUCGUAUUAGUAAACUACAACAUGGAAGAAAAUAAGGAAAGGGGACUAUGGUAAGUGAAAUUGAUGUCAUUUUAAAGAAAUCCAUUGAAAUUUUUGCUUUCAAAAUCAGGUACAAUGGCAAGUUAACUAAAGUGGAUCUUCAGUCCCGAACCAAAAGAAAGAUUACUUAGACGCUCAUGCAAGAUUAUUUCGAUUAUGAAAAAUGAACUGCCAUAUGUGAGAUGAAAUAUAAUGAGAUGAAAUGAAUGAAUUAUGAAUGAAUGAAAUAUACAACAACAACAAACAAAUACUUUUCAAAAUUUUUAUUUAGAUAAGGAACCUCGAUUGCAAUCCACCUUCAAGAAAAUACACACGGAAUGUUUGAACAUUGAUAUCAUCUUGCAUCUCAGUCGUGUGAUGGCCCCAUCAUUGGGGACUGGCUCCCGGGCAGAUCUUGCUCUUCCUCAAUUUUUCUGGCUAAUUGAGAUAGCACCACCUGCACUUCUUUCUGUAAAUAAUCAACACGAUAAAUUAAAAUGUUUUUUGGGCAAUGAAGGGGGAUUGGGUAAGGUGAUAACUUACCACAGUCAGUGACACCUGCUUGCCUCCUGAAAGCUUGUCUUCUUGAAUUUAAAUUUUGAUCUCUCCUCGUGCUCACACCAACACCUGGCUCUCUUUUGCCCACCAGCUUCGUCAGAAGAGUUUCCCAUUUCGAGAUCAUCCUGCGGUUUCUUUGCAGGUUACUUGAACCCUGCAUGAGAAAAAAGAUUUGGAAAAAAGAUUUUAAAUUUUUUUAAAAUUUAGGGCACAAAUAAGGAUACUUACUCUUUGGUUUUGGCCAAUCCCAUUUU